UACAGAGGGUGCGAGCGUUAAUCGGAAUUACUGGGCGUAAAGCGCGCGUAGGCGGCUUUGCAAGUCGGGUGUGAAAUCCCCAGGCUUAACCUGGGAACUGCAUUCGAGACUGCAUUGCUAGAGUAUGGGAGAGGGAAGUGGAAUUUCCGGUGUAGCGGUGAAAUGCGUAGAUAUCGGAAGGAACAUCAGUGGCGAAAGCGACUUCCUGGACCGGUUCUGACACUGAGGAGCGAAAGCGUGGGGAGCGAUCCGG
This 253-nucleotide ribosomal RNA is filed under the name uncultured bacterium. Its description in RNAcentral is "partial 16S ribosomal RNA". It matches the Rfam family "Bacterial small subunit ribosomal RNA", at positions 524 to 776 of the family's 1533-position model. The record is from RNAcentral.